This 360-nucleotide transfer RNA is filed under the name uncultured Microcystis sp. RNAcentral's name for it is "partial 16S-23S ribosomal RNA intergenic spacer". The stretch from base 134 to 207 matches the Rfam family "tRNA". Lineage: Bacteria; Bacillati; Cyanobacteriota; Cyanophyceae; Chroococcales; Microcystaceae. The record is from RNAcentral.
AAAGGGAGACCUAAUUCCGGUAGGAGACGAAAAAAAAGUAGUCCCUACCAAGAAUCAAUCCCAAAAGGUCGGAACGAGGUAUGAGGCUUUCAAACUAGGUUCUGGGUUCAUAAAAGACCUGAAUCAGGAACAAGGGCUAUUAGCUCAGGUGGUUAGAGCGCACCCCUGAUAAGGGUGAGGUCCCUGGUUCGAGUCCAGGAUGGCCCACCUGCACAGGUGGCAAAAACAAAAGAAGCGAGGAAUCAGCACCUUAUCUUAUAUACAUAUAUAAGAGAGAAUGCUGGCUCUGAGUACAAAGUCCAGAGGAACCUUGAAAACUGCAUAGAGCUAGGUGGAAAAGCCAAAAAAGAAGACCGCAAG